RNAcentral lists this ribosomal RNA (479 nucleotides) under uncultured bacterium. Its description in RNAcentral is "partial 16S ribosomal RNA". It matches the Rfam family "Bacterial small subunit ribosomal RNA", at positions 28 to 507 of the family's 1533-position model. The record is from RNAcentral.
GAUGAACGCUGGCGGCGUGCUUAACACAUGCAAGUCGAACGAAGCACUUAAGAUUGAUUCCUCGGAUGACGUCUUUUGUGCCUUAGUGGCGGACGGGUGAGUAACGCGUGGGUAACCUGCCUCACACAGGGGGAUAACAGUUAGAAAUGACUGCUAAUACCGCAUAACCCGAUAGGAUCGCAUGAUCCAGACGGAAAAGAUUUAUCGGUGUGAGAUGGACCCGCGUCUGAUUAGCUAGUUGGUGAGGUAACGGCCCACCAAGGCGACGAUCAGUAGCCGGGCUGAGAGGGUGAACGGCCACAUUGGGACUGAGACACGGCCCAAACUCCUACGGGAGGCAGCAGUGGGGAAUAUUGCACAAUGGGGGAAACCCUGAUGCAGCGACGCCGCGUGAGUGAAGAAGUAUUUCGGUAUGUAAAGCUCUAUCAGCAGGGAAGAAAAUGACGGUACCUGACGAAGAAGCCCCGGCUAACUACGUG